This 504-nucleotide ribosomal RNA is filed under the name Triticum aestivum (bread wheat). Its description in RNAcentral is "partial small subunit ribosomal RNA". The record is from RNAcentral. Lineage: Eukaryota; Viridiplantae; Streptophyta; Magnoliopsida; Poales; Poaceae.
AUGGAGGCGGAUGACUGGGAGGAGUUACAGUUGAAAGCAGCCGGGACUAUACGGCUGUGUCUGUCGGACCAGGUUAUUUAUCAUGUGAUGGAUGAGAAUUCACCGAAGAAGAUCUGGGAGAAGCUGGAAAGUCAGUUUAUGUCCAAGACUGCGACGACCAAGGUGUAUCUGAAGCAAAAGUUGUAUGGGAUGAGGAUGCAGGAGGGGUCAGAUCUUGUGGAGUAUAUGAACGCCUUUAAUCAAGUCGUGAUGGAUCUAGCACGCUUGGGUGCGACGGUUGACAACGAGGAUAGGGCAAUUCUGCUUCUUUGUUCGUUGCCAUCAUCCUAUGAUCAUUUGAUCACUACUUUGACGCACGGCAAGGAGACCGUCAAGAAUGAGGAUAUUACUGCGGCGUUGCUAUCUUAUGAUAUGACACUUCUAGGGAAAAGGCUAGCAGCAGCGUGGGUUUUAGACCUAUCAGUAGCGCGGGGUGGUGCGCUACUAAUAAGGCGCUACAGCUAA